This 87-nucleotide non-coding RNA is filed under the name human gut metagenome. The record is from RNAcentral.
AAAACGGGGUGCUAUUGCCCGAGCAAUGGCUGAGAUUAUACCCUUUGUACCUGUACGGAUAAUGCCGACGUAGGAAAGAGUGUUUCA